UACGUAGGGUGCAAGCGUUGUCCGGAAUUAUUGGGCGUAAAGAGCUCGUAGGCGGUUUGUCGCGUCUGCUGUGAAAACUCGGGGCUUAACUCCGGGCCUGCAGUGGGUACGGGCAGACUAGAGUGCGGUAGGGGAGACUGGAAUUCCUGGUGUAGCGGUGAAAUGCGCAGAUAUCAGGAGGAACACCGGUGGCGAAGGCGGGUCUCUGGGCCGAUUCUGACACUGAGGAGCGAAAGCGUGGGGAGCGAACAGG
This 253-nucleotide ribosomal RNA is filed under the name uncultured bacterium. RNAcentral's name for it is "partial 16S ribosomal RNA". It matches the Rfam family "Bacterial small subunit ribosomal RNA", at positions 524 to 776 of the family's 1533-position model. The record is from RNAcentral.